AAACCAUGAUGUGGGCAUUGAGACCAGUAGCUUCUGAACCUUUACCAUGCUUCACUAAAACCUUCAAGAUUCUUCUGUUGAAACCCAGAGAUCUCAUUUCUAAACUU
This is a non-coding RNA of Brassica napus (rape), 107 nucleotides long. The record is from Rfam. Lineage: Eukaryota; Viridiplantae; Streptophyta; Magnoliopsida; Brassicales; Brassicaceae.